UUGGGAUUCUUCACCACGUCCAAUUCUACGCCAGCCAGCUUGUACCUCGGCAUAUGGUACAACGGCAUCUCCGAGCUAACCACGGUGUGGGUCGCGAACCGUGAAACCCCGGUCAUCAACAAUACUACCCUCUCCCUCACCAAUACCUCAAGUCUUGUUCUGUCCAAUGGCAAUGGCACUGGCCGUGUUAUCUGGACGACGACCAGCGUCGCCACUGCCGCAGGCUCAUCUCCCUCGACGGCGGUGCUGUUGAACACCGGAAACCUUGUCCUCCGCUCACUAAAUGGCACCAUGUUGUGGCAGAGCUUCGACCACCCAACUGACACGUUCCUCCCCGGCAUGAAGAUCGGGCUCAGGUACAGAACGCGAACCGGAGAUCGUCUGGUGUCCUGGAAGGGCCCCGGCGACCCCUCGCCAGGGCGUUUCUCCUACGGUGGUGACCCGGCUACGUUCCUCCAGAUAUUCAUCUGGGAUGGGGCACGACCUGUGUACCGCAACAUCCCAUGGACAGGGUUCCGGGUGAAGAGCGAACAUCCGAACGCUAGCGCCAUCAUCGUCUACAUGGCUGUCGUCAAUACCGACGAGGAGAUCUACGUGACCUACAGCCUCUCCGACGGUGCUGCACGCACCAGGUAUGUACUGACCUACUCCAGCGAGUACCAACUCGAGAGUUGGAGCAGCAGGUUGUUGAAGUGGACUGUCCUCGCCAAGUGGCCACCCACCGACUGCACCCGCUACGGCUACUGUGGCUCGUAUGGGUACUGCGACGCUACGGCGGCACCCGUACCGACGUGUAAGUGCCUCGACGGCUUCCAGCCGACGAGCAAGGAGGGGUGCCGACGAAUGGUGCCAUUAAGCGGGUGCAGUGGCGGCUUCUUGCCCCUGCCAUUGAUGAAGUCGCCGGACAGGUUCGCAUUUGUUGGCGGGAACAAGAGUACAUUGGAGGAGUGUGAGGCGGAGUGCCGCCGUAAUUGCUCCUGUGUGGCGUAUGCGUUCGCCAACUUGGGCAGCGGCAGGUCCGGGGGAGAUGUGACGAGGUGCUUAGCGUGGGAUGAGGAGUUAGUUGACGCUGGAAAGAUAGGCGAAGUACCUGGUGGAAACACACUCUAUCUCCGCUUUGGAGCUGAAGGCUCGCCAACACAUGGACCAGGUGGGAGCAAUUCGGCAGUAGUGCCAAUUUUAGGAACAAGUGUCGUUCUUCUACUCAUAGGCAUUUUCGUGGCGUGGUUAAAAUUCAAAGGCAAGAACGCAAAACUGAGAAAAGCCAAGAAGAUAACAUUUGAUGGUAUGGGUACCUCUUAUGAACUUGAGGAUGGAAACCCUCCCCAUGAUCAUGAAUUAGCAUUUGUGAGACUUGAGGAAAUAGCCCAAGCAACAGACAAUUUCUCCGAAAAAUGUAUGAUUGGACAGGGAGGCUUUGGCAAAGUUUAUAAGGGAUUCUUAGGUGGUAAGGAAACUGCUGUAAAAAGGCUAAGUAUGGAUUCUCAACAAGGAACAGAAGAAUUCAGGAAUGAAGUAAUUCUGAUUGCUAGGCUACAACAUAGAAACUUGGUUCAACUUCUUGGAUAUUGUGGCGAGCAGGCCGAAAAGUUGCUGAUUUAUGAGUAUCUACCCAAUGGGAGCUUAGACGCCAUCCUUUUUGAUGAUUCAAGGAGAAUGUUGUUGGAUUGGGAAACACGGUUUAGUAUAAUCAAAGGGGUCGCAAGGGGAUUACUUUACCUCCACCAAGAUUCAAGAAUGACUAUAAUCCAUAGAGAUCUCAAAGCUGCAAAUGUUUUACUAGAUGCAGAAAUGAAACCCAAGAUAGCGGAUUUUGGUAUGGCAAGGAUCUUUGGGGAUAACCAGCAAAAUGCAAAUACCCAACAUGUUGUCGGAACAUAUGGCUACAUGGCUCCUGGGUAUGCAAUGGAAGGCAUCUUCUCUGCCAAGUCUGACGUCUAUAGCUUCGGCGUGUUACUGCUAGAGGUUGUAACGGGUAUAAGGAGAAGCUCCAAUAGUCAAACCAUGGGGUUCCCUAACCUCAUAGUCUAUUCAUGGAAUAUGUGGAAGGAAGGGAAGGCAGAGGCAUUGUCAGACUCAUCUAUCAUGAAUACUUGUUCACCUGAUGAAGUUUCGCUUUGCAUCCAUGUAGCACUCUUGUGUGUCCAGGAGAAUCCAGAUGACAGGCCAUUGAUGUCAUCUGUUGUGUUUGUCCUGGAGAAUAGAAGCACCACACUUUCGACCCCAAACUACCCACCCGACUUUGCACGGCACAACACUGAAAUGGAGCGCAUAAGAGAUGAUAUUCAGCACUCUAUGAAUAGUUUUACUCUUACCGAGAUACAGGGACGAUGA
This 2334-nucleotide ribosomal RNA is filed under the name Triticum aestivum (bread wheat). RNAcentral's name for it is "partial small subunit ribosomal RNA". The record is from RNAcentral. Lineage: Eukaryota; Viridiplantae; Streptophyta; Magnoliopsida; Poales; Poaceae.